RNAcentral lists this ribosomal RNA (525 nucleotides) under uncultured bacterium. RNAcentral describes it as "bacterial SSU rRNA". It matches the Rfam family "Bacterial small subunit ribosomal RNA", at positions 26 to 518 of the family's 1533-position model. The record is from RNAcentral.
UGGCUAGGACGAACGCUGGCGGCGUGCCUAAUACAUGCAAGUCGAACGGUCUUUCUAUGGAAGCUUGCUUCCACUGAGAAGAUAGUGGCGAACGGGUGAGUAACACGUGGGUAACCUGCCCAUAAGAGGGGGGAUAACAUCCGGAAACGGGUGCUAAUACCGCAUAGUUUUCUUGAUCGCAUGAUCGGGAAAGGAAAGACGGCCUUUGUGCUGUCGCUUAUGGAUGGACCCGCGGCGUAUUAGUUAGUUGGUGAGGUAACGGCUCACCAAGACGAUGAUACGUAGCCGACCUGAGAGGGUGAUCGGCCACAUUGGGACUGAGACACGGCCCAAACUCCUACGGGAGGCAGCAGUAGGGAAUCUUCCGCAAUGGACGAAAGUCUGACGGAGCAACGCCGCGUGAGUGAAGAAAGGUUUUCGGAUCGUAAAACUCUGUUGUCAGAGAAGAACAAGUUGGAGAGUAACUGCUCCAGCCUUGACGGUAUCUGACCAGAAAGCCACGGCUAACUACGUGCCAGCAGCGGC